CGAUUCAAGAUAAAUUCGUGGACCCGAAACUGGGUGAUCUAUCCAUGACCAGGAUGAAGCUUGGAUGAAACUAAGCAGAGGUCCGAACCGACUGAUGUUAAAGAAUCAGCGGAUGAGUUGUGGUUAGGGGUGAAAUGCCACUCGAACCCAGAGCUAGCUGGUUCUCCGCGAAAUGCGUUGAGGCGCAGUAGAUGACUGGACAUCUAGGGGUAAAGCACUGGUUCGGUGCGGGCUGUGCGAGCAGUACCAAAUCGAGGCAAACUCUGAAUACUAGAUAUGACCCAAAAAUAACAGGGUUCAAGGUCGGCUAGUGAGAUGAUGGGGGAUAAGCUUCAUUGUUGAGAGGGAAACAGCCCGGAUCACCAGCUAAGGCCCCUCCUAUCUGAUAGAAAAGGGUCCCAUGAUCCCGAGCCGAUCUUACCUUGGCUCGCAAACCCCAAGUUUGUCUAUGAAGAGCUAAUCUAAUUGUAUUUUUUCUAGAAUGGAUUUCUUAUGUUGAAUACUAAUGGUUUUAUUGUUUUGUAUCUAGCAAAAUUGUAAGG
This is a non-coding RNA of Triticum aestivum (bread wheat), 542 nucleotides long. NCBI's taxonomy places the organism in Eukaryota, Viridiplantae, Streptophyta, Magnoliopsida, Poales, Poaceae. The record is from Rfam.